CCUACGGGGGGCAGCAGUGGGGAAUAUUGCACAAUGGAGGGAACUCUGAUGCAGCGACGCCGCGUGAGCGAUGAAGGCCUUCGGGUCGUAAAGCUCUGUCCUAUGGGACGAUAAUGACGGUACCAUAGGAGGAAGCCCCGGCUAACUACGUGCCAGCAGCCGCGGUAAUACGUAGGGGGCGAGCGUUGUCCGGAAUUACUGGGCGUAAAGGGUACGCAGGCGGUCAUGUAAGUCAGAUGUGAAAUCCUAAGGCUUAACCUUAGUAAGCAUUUGAAACUGCGUGGCUUGAGUUAAGGAGAGGAAAGUGGAAUUCCUGGUGUAGCGGUGAAAUGCGUAGAUAUCAGGAGGAAUACCAGUGGCGAAGGCGACUUUCUGGCCUUAAACUGACGCUGAGGUACGAAAGCGUGGGGAGCAAACAGGCUUAGAUACCCCAGUAGUC
RNAcentral lists this ribosomal RNA (439 nucleotides) under uncultured Tepidimicrobium sp. RNAcentral describes it as "bacterial SSU rRNA". It matches the Rfam family "Bacterial small subunit ribosomal RNA", at positions 338 to 795 of the family's 1533-position model. Lineage: Bacteria; Bacillati; Bacillota; Tissierellia; Tissierellales; Tepidimicrobiaceae. The record is from RNAcentral.